ACCAUAGAUUUGAGACCAGAAAAGCUUUGUCAUUCUUUUUCUUCCGAGACGCUGACCGAGAAGGUUGCUCUAGCGUCUAGCCAUCAUUGCUGGGUACUUUCUUUCCUGACUUAGUUCUUCAUAAAAAAAGGUUAGACGUUGGUGGAGAUUUUUCUCGAUGUGCAGUGCCAAGUCAACAGAAUACCUCUGUGAUGUAUCAUGUUGUGAGAUGAAAAUGGAAAGAAAACAGGAAAUCUGAAAUGAUUUCUUGGUCAAUUUGGCGUUGAAGCUGAUAAUGGUAGUGAGGUCUGGUGUGCUGUGGUGUGGCAGUCAUUUUCUGAUUGAGAGAUGCAAUGAUAUGGAGCUUCUGCAGGCUUGCAGUUCAACAUCAGACUUCAAUUUAUCAUGUUGGUGUCCAUGCAGUGUUGAGCUGUUGUGCAAAAUAGUUGGUGUUGUUUAAUGGCUUGCAAUUUGUUGGUGUGUUCUACUACCUGUUCCCAUGUUGAGUUCAAUCGUACGUCGCCGUUCCAGACUUAACCUAUUGGUGAAGCUAAGAAGAGACUGCUGUACUUCAAGAGAUUGAUAAAUUAUUUAGCUUAGACAAUUUGCAAAUGCAUAUCUUUUCUCCCUUUUCACAAGUAAACAAAUUUUCCUCUGGCUAGUUGUGUGAAUUGCAAUGAGACUAUUUCUGUGAAAAAGUUCAGCCAAACCACGAAAAUUUUAUGAUCCGACUAACCCCACUGUUUCCGUAACAAGUCUAAACCUUUUCGCUCAAUGAUAUUACCUCUUUAAAAAGAAAUAAAUAAUUGAAACCUAAA
Molecule: long non-coding RNA, 797 nt
Organism: Daphnia pulex (common water flea)
Lineage: Eukaryota; Metazoa; Arthropoda; Branchiopoda; Diplostraca; Daphniidae
Exons: 4
Source: RefSeq, a predicted model, not a curated record